Molecule: ribosomal RNA, 425 nt
Filed under: uncultured bacterium
Lineage: Bacteria
Description: bacterial SSU rRNA
Rfam family: Bacterial small subunit ribosomal RNA
Source: RNAcentral
GGGCCCGCACAAGCAGUGGAGCAUGUGGUUUAAUUCGACGAUACGCGAAGAACCUUACCAAGACUUGACAUCCGCAGAAUUUUCUAGAGAUAGAGAAGUGCCUUCGGGAACUGCGUGACAGGUGGUGCAUGGCUGUCGUCAGCUCGUGUCGUGAGAUGUUGGGUUAAGUCCCGCAACGAGCGAAACCCUUGUCUUAUGUUGCCAGCACGUUAUGGUGGGGACUCAUAAGAGACUGCCCGUAAAAAGCGGGAGGAAGGUGAGGACGACGUCAAGUCAUCAUGCCCCUUACGUCUUGGGCUACACACAUGCUACAAUGGCCGGUACAAUGGGUCGCCAAACCGCGAGGUGGAGCCAAUCCCUUAAAACCGGUCUCAGUUCGGAUUGUAGUCUGCAACUCGACUACAUGAAGUCGGAAUUGCUAGUAA